ACGUAGGAAGCAAGCGUUAUCCGGAUUUACUGGGCGUAAAGCGGGUGUAGGCGGCCUGUCAAGUCCGGUGUGAAAUCUCCCGGCUUAACUGGGAGGGUGCACUGGAUACUGAUAGACUUGAGUGCAGCAGAGGAAAGCGGAAUUCCGGGUGUAGGAGUGAAAUCCGUAGAUAUCCGGAGGAACACCAGUGGCGAAGGCGGCCACCUGGACGACAACCGACGCUGAGGAGCGAAAGCGUGGGGAGCAAACAG
RNAcentral lists this ribosomal RNA (251 nucleotides) under uncultured prokaryote. RNAcentral's name for it is "partial 16S rRNA". It matches the Rfam family "Bacterial small subunit ribosomal RNA", at positions 525 to 775 of the family's 1533-position model. The record is from RNAcentral.